Long non-coding RNA from Daphnia magna, 1267 nucleotides. RefSeq lists it as uncharacterized. The record is from RefSeq and is a predicted model, not a curated record. Lineage: Eukaryota; Metazoa; Arthropoda; Branchiopoda; Diplostraca; Daphniidae. The transcript is spliced from 5 exons.
UUGUGUGAAGUUAUGUGACACAACACAAGAGGCUUCUCACUGCGCAGUCCCGCAGAAUGUUUUCCCCUCGUAUGCGGAACUUUCCGCCAUCUUAAGGACGAACUCAACACAGGACUCCUACUGAGAGUAAGAAAAUACACAAGGAAGUUUUUACAUCACACAUGGAAAAGUUGGAUGAUCAAGGUUCAACAAGGCUGUAAAGAAAUCAUAAUUUCAGGAGGUCUCAACUCAGUUUACAUGGUGGAUGCCCCACUAAACGACCCAGCAAUCUUUACUGGCUGUCUUCCAGUGCCCGUAAUUUGUUAUGCAUGCAAUUACUCAACAAGGAAUUAGGUGGAACUGUGGAGAGAAAAGAUGUUAGCGAAGGUGGGCAAUUCAAGAACCAAGUAGAAACGGAGUGCCCAUUUUUUAAAGGCUUAGAGACUUGGCAAAUGGUAUUACUGACCCAUGGUGACAACGUAGACAAGGUUGCAGAAGGGUUGCGUUGCGUCGCAAAAUGUUCGCGUCAUAUUAUUUCCGCUAUUGCUGAUACUGAACGCCGUCUUUAUGGAGUCUAGUUCCAUGAUUUGAUUGAAAACGAACGAAAAAUGUUGCACAAUUUCUUGUUCAACAUCUGUGGAUUGCAAGGAGGUUUCACAUUGAAGAAACGCGAGUAGCAGUGUAACAACUACAUCCGGCGUACGGUAGGACGUGAUAAGAUCGUGCUCAUGUUGGUAAGCGGCGGAGUUAAUUCCGCCGUUUGUGCUGCCCUUCUUCAUCAAGCACUUCUACAGGGUGACGACUCGAGUGCAGGACAUCCAUAUCGAUAUCGGUUUCCUGCGUAAAGACGAAUCUGAGCAAGUCGUCACUAGUUAACAGCAACUCGGGCUCAAUCUUCGGGUGAUUUGAGAUACUUUUCUGGACCGUUCAGAAUCUUAGGAUUGGCCAAAAUUCGAUACGAGAUUAAUUGAUACGUCGUCAUAUCACAUCUCAAAUUCUACGGUUUACAAUACUUGGUCUGUGACCGAGUUCCUUUAGGGACAGUUGCUUCUCAUUUCUUCUUCAUACCAGCGAUUACAUUUGAUGUUUCGAAUCGUUUUGGGUUGUUAAAUCAAGUUAGACUUUCUACGAUGCUUCCACCAACGACGCCAAACUUUGUCGUUGUGUCGGACUGUUGAUCCCGAAGAAAAACGUCGAAUUGUUGGCGAAACGUUUUUCAAAGUGGCAGAUGGAACUGCUAACGAUAUGAAUUUUAUUUAUUCCCUCCUCCCCCUCUCUAGCAGACGAA